Operophtera brumata (winter moth) is the source of this 47-nucleotide non-coding RNA. Lineage: Eukaryota; Metazoa; Arthropoda; Insecta; Lepidoptera; Geometridae. The record is from Rfam.
CACAAGGCCCUUUUAAGGGCCUCCGUACAACAACUACAAUUACCUAU